UACCUAGCUCAGCUUUAUCGUACGACUUCGUCCACGAACUCGCACAAGGCGAAUGUAUUGCGCAUGUAUGGCACAGGACUGUGGGAUAUUUGUCACCGGAAGUUUAUGUUUCGUCUGUUACCGGUGACCACUAAGGUUUACAAGGCUGACCUUACAACCCAGUUCUGUUCAGCUGAAGAGAUCACCAUAAAUGGAGGGUGUGGAGUCAAAGUUCAGCACUAACAUGGUGAAACACUUGAGAAACAUGCUCUACAAGCUUUAAGGUCAAAGAUGGGGUACUGUAGACUGCAGCACAGAUGUACUGUGACAACAUGGACAAGAUCCAAAAUAAAGUUGUCAUCUUUUCUGAUGAUCUACCCUUUAUCAGUCCUGAGUUGCCUGCAACAGAUCUCCUCUCAUAGCAUUAUCUCUUGCUGACAAUUGGCACAGAAUGGAGAAAAACUGGCCCAAGUAACAUCUCCUGGUUGUUCAGGCUAAGAUGGUAAUCAAAGCCAACCAAAGGUAGCUCCAGCAGCAAAGAACCUUACUACAGCAUACACAAGAAGAUCAGCACACAAAAAACAACGCAUUAAGAAAAUGUGGAAAAAAGAAGAAUUCCGCUCCCAUGAGUGAUACAGACUAUGAAGCUCUUUUGGAUGCAGUUCUUCAAAAGACAAAAAGUGGAAAAAAUGCUGUUCAUAUUAGUGAAAAUAAUUCAGAGGAACAAAAGAACAGAGAAACGGGGAGACAUAGCAUAUUGUUCAACUUCUGAAUCUAAGUCACAACAAAAGGAUGAUUUCUUUGAAGAGGAAAACCAGGAAUAUCCUGUAAAUUAUAAUCAAGAAAAUAAUAAAACCAGUGAGAAAGAUGAGAUAUCAACUUUAAGUGAAUAUUUAUGGGCAAACAGGCUGCACAAUAUCUAUCUUGAUGUUGACCACUGGGAAAGUUACAGCAAUCAACAUGAGCUAGUCCAGCCUUGUGGACAGGUGCUGAAUCCAGAGAGAAAUAGUGUGUGUUGAAGAUAAGAACUGGGAGAAACAGGAGGAAGAUUAUGAUGAAUCAGAGAACAUCUUAACCAGAUAUCUCCUAGGUUCUGUUGUCUGGGCUGAGGGAUGGAUAUCCUUGGCAAGUUUCAUUCAUUUUAAAGAUUUUAAUGAAGUUCUUAUUGGUGUUCUUGUACACAUGUAGUUUCUUGUGUCUACAAAAAAGUAUAUAAGCCAUAUGUUUUUGCAGAGAUCAUUACAAUUAUGUAGUAUGCAUUUUAAUUACAGGUGGCCUGGUUUAAUUGAUUCUGAUCCCAGUUGUGAUGUGUAUUGUGAAAUACCUACAGAGGAAAGUAUUCAUCCUACACAUUUUCAUGUGGUAUUUCUUGAUAAUCCUACAUUUUGAUCCUGGGUCAAAAUAUCAAGAAUCAAACCUCUUUUUGCUAGAGAUCUGGGAAUCAUUCAGUGAGGCCUUCAUGACAUGAACAAUUUUUAUUGACAUGUGUGACCUAGCGCAAACAGGUAAUGUUUAAAAGUAUAGUCGUACAAAAUUGUAUACUUAUGUUCUUAUAUUAUUGAUCGAGUCUGCACUGCUUAAUGUAAAGUUCAGAAAUUUGAGAGAAUUGUCCACUAUAAGAUAAUGAAAUCUUCAUAAAUAAAAGACUUCCUUUAUAAGCGCAUUUCUUUCUGAAAAAAAAAAUGAAAUAAAGUUCACUUAAAUGUGUCUGGGUUCUUGUUUACAAGGUUCUUUGCAGUUUUUGUAUGUAUUCAGUUACUCCCCUUUUCUGUACUGUCGGUGCAUGGUUCCUUGGAAAGUGGCAUUUUGUCUUGUUCUGCAGUAAGUUUCCGUAAUUUUCUGUUUUUGUCAUAUAACAAAAAGCCAA
This 1846-nucleotide long non-coding RNA is filed under the name Pomacea canaliculata. RNAcentral's name for it is "uncharacterized LOC112556874, transcript variant X3". Lineage: Eukaryota; Metazoa; Mollusca; Gastropoda; Architaenioglossa; Ampullariidae. The record is from RNAcentral.